UGCGCAGGCGGUUAUGUAAGACAGAUGUGAAAUCCCCGGGCUCAACCUGGGAACUGCAUUAGUGACUGCAUAGCUGGAGUACGGCAGAGGGGGAUGGAAUUCCGCGUGUAGCAGUGAAAUGCGUAGAUAUGCGGAGGAACACCGAUGGCGAAGGCAAUCCCCUGGGCCUGUACUGACGCUCAUGCACGAAAGCGUGGGAGCAAACA
This 206-nucleotide ribosomal RNA is filed under the name uncultured bacterium. RNAcentral's name for it is "partial 16S ribosomal RNA". It matches the Rfam family "Bacterial small subunit ribosomal RNA", at positions 568 to 774 of the family's 1533-position model. The record is from RNAcentral.